This 574-nucleotide ribosomal RNA is filed under the name Cronobacter sakazakii. Its description in RNAcentral is "bacterial SSU rRNA". It matches the Rfam family "Bacterial small subunit ribosomal RNA", at positions 1 to 563 of the family's 1533-position model. Lineage: Bacteria; Pseudomonadati; Pseudomonadota; Gammaproteobacteria; Enterobacterales; Enterobacteriaceae. The record is from RNAcentral.
UUAAUUGAAGAGUUUGAUCAUGGCUCAGAUUGAACGCUGGCGGCAGGCCUAACACAUGCAAGUCGAACGGUAACAGGGAGCAGCUUGCUGCUCUGCUGACGAGUGGCGGACGGGUGAGUAAUGUCUGGGAAACUGCCUGAUGGAGGGGGAUAACUACUGGAAACGGUAGCUAAUACCGCAUAACGUCUACGGACCAAAGUGGGGGACCUUCGGGCCUCAUGCCAUCAGAUGUGCCCAGAUGGGAUUAGCUAGUAGGUGGGGUAACGGCUCACCUAGGCGACGAUCCCUAGCUGGUCUGAGAGGAUGACCAGCCACACUGGAACUGAGACACGGUCCAGACUCCUACGGGAGGCAGCAGUGGGGAAUAUUGCACAAUGGGCGCAAGCCUGAUGCAGCCAUGCCGCGUGUAUGAAGAAGGCCUUCGGGUUGUAAAGUACUUUCAGCGGGGAGGAAGGCGUUGUGGUUAAUAACCACAGCGAUUGACGUUACCCGCAGAAGAAGCACCGGCUAACUCCGUGCCAGCAGCCGCGGUAAUACGGAGGGUGCAAGCGUUAAUCGGAAUUACUGGGCGGAA